This 1072-nucleotide long non-coding RNA is filed under the name Mytilus galloprovincialis (Mediterranean mussel). Lineage: Eukaryota; Metazoa; Mollusca; Bivalvia; Mytilida; Mytilidae. The record is from RNAcentral.
GGCCGGUUCAGUCAAAUCGUUUCAGAAUCAUUAUUUGGUCUGCUGAUAUCCUUAUCGCGAUGAACAUGGAGCAUGGCAAGACCGCACAAUCUCUCGCCACUCACGCAUGCUCUUUUCCAAGUUUUCAGUCGUUUCAGGGCAGUCUGUGUUUCCAAAGGUAGCACAUCAUCAUCAAUUCGGUAGCAGCAUUGGUAGUAACAGUUUUGUUUGUAAAAGCGAAUUAAGCUUUUACAACAUGUAAGCACCAUCAAACAGUCGCAGUUACAAAAUAUUAAACUCACUAUUAUGCUGUCAAAAAGUAGACAAACUAGGGAUAUAAUGAGAUAAGAUACAUGUGUAUGAUUCUAUCUAUAGAAUUAGUAUAUAUGAAUUGGUACAGGGGAAUUGGAAUAGAGUUUUUGACGUUUACAUGUAGGUCCGUAAUUUCAAAUUAUUUCUGGAAAUAGUUAGUGGUAUUUUAAUUCAGAAUCUAUAAAUUUAGGGGUUAGGGGUUGGGGUGUCCGAUUCCGAAACCCCCAAUAUAAAGAAACGAAAUUCCGUAGUCCCGAAUAAGUAAAGACAAAAUUCUGUGUUAAAGGUUCUACCAUUCCUCAAUAAUAUCAAAUUGGAAUAUGGGAUAUUCUUUAAUUUUUUAAGGUUAAAGAAACAUGGAUAAAAAUUAAUCCAUGCAUGUUUCAUAUUAUUUUUAUCUUAUUUAUCUGUAAAGAGAAAGAUUAAAGUUCGUGAAAUAAAUACGCAAACAGGACUGCCCCCUUGCGAUGCCCAGUACUUGAUUUGUCAAAAGUUGGUGAAACGGAUAAAUGAAUACGCAGAGGGGACUGUCCCCUUCCGAAGACCAGUACUUGAUUUGGCAGUCUACUUAUCGUUUUUGGAUUGUUCUAAUGAAGUUAUAUGCAAUACUCAGACUCUGUUCACAAAAAAAACUAGUUUACUAGAAUUAUUCCUAAUUUACCGUCAGUGUCGCUUUUCCUUUUUCUGCAAGAGCCUGUUUUUAACUAUAGAGAUCCCUGAUGAUUAUCGUUUCUAUGUUAAAGUAAUCGAGAAACAUCACCCGUUGAGAUGCCGCUGAGUU